This 1309-nucleotide small RNA is filed under the name Pan troglodytes (chimpanzee). RNAcentral describes it as "processed transcript". The record is from RNAcentral. Lineage: Eukaryota; Metazoa; Chordata; Mammalia; Primates; Hominidae.
AUGUUCCUUCUUCUGGUGCUUCUCACUGGACUUGGUGGGAUGCAUGCAGACCUCAAUCCUCAUAAAAUCUUCCUGCAGACCACAAUUCCAGAGAAGAUUUCAUCAUCGGAUGCAAAAACAGAUCCAGAACAUAAUGUUAUUUACAUGAUUACCAUAGAAGGAAAGCCAUAUUUUGUCCAUCUCAAAAAGCAAUCAAUUUUAUCUUCAGCUUCUGUUAUUAAUUCUUAUGACGAAAAUGACAUCCGUCAUUCCAAACCUCUGCUAGUUCAGAUGGAUUGCAAUUAUAAUGGAUAUGUUGUGGGUAUUCCAAAUUCUCUUGUGACUCUCAGCAUAUGUUCAGGACUCAGGGGAACAAUGCAGCUGAAAAACAUCUCAUAUGGAAUUGAACCGAUAGAGGCUGUAUCAGGAUUUAUACACAAGAUUUAUGAAGAAAAAUAUGCUGACACUAAUAUUCUCUUAGAAGAAAAUGACACUUAUACUUGGUUUAAUUCAGAGUAUCAAGUCAGAAAAAGUUCAGAAAAAACUGACUUUAUUAAGUUAUUCUCUCGAUAUAUUGAAAUGCAUAUUGUUGUGGACAAAAAUUUGUUCAAACCGGCUAAUACGAUUUAUAGGAAAUCAGUUGAUAAAGAAUGCGAUUUCACUGACUAUUACAAUGGGGACCUUCCAUACUGUUUGCCUGACACUUAUGUACGUGAUGGAGAAUAUUGUGAUUCAGAUGGAGCCUUCUGUUUUCAAGGAAAGUGUUGGACUUUUGACAAACAAUGUGAUGAUUUAAUUGGAAGAGGUUCAAGAGGUGCUCCAAUUUUCUGUUAUGAUGAAAUUAAUACCAGAGGAGACAAUUUUGGAAACUGUGGCACUGCACAUUGUCUUUUCCAACAUAUUCUAUGUGCAAAAUUAUUCUGUACAUGGGAACACAGAGACUUAAUAUCACGUCCAAAUUUAUCUGUGAUUUAUGCACAUGUAGGAGACCAAACAUGUGUGUCUAUAUACCUACCCAGGAGGACGCCACCUCCAGUAAAUUCACCUAUUUCAAUCACAUCAUAUUAUUCAGCUGAAGACAGAGAUGAAACAUUUGUACAAGAUGGUUCCAUGUGUGGUCCUGAUAUGUAUUGUUUCGAAAUGCAUUGUAAACAUGUUAGAUUCCUGAUGAAUUUAAAAUUGUGUGAUGCUUCUAAUCAUUGUGAUCGUCAUGGAGUUUGUAACAAUUUUAACCAUUGCCAUUGUGAAAAGGGAUAUAAUCCUCCUUACUGCCAACCAAAGCAAGGAGCAUUUGGAAGUAUUGAUGAUGGACACUUAGUACCACCAACUG